CUAUUGCAAAUAAAGAAAUUAAAUUAUAAUUUUUGUUAUAUUUUAAAAAUUAAAUAUUAUUUUUAAAUUAUUAAUUUAAUAAUUCAGAUAUAUAUAAUUAGUAAUUUUCUUGUCUCUCGCCUAACCCACGCAUUGUUCCUCUCUACUCUCUAUUUUUGUCUUUCUCACCCUCUUAAUGAAAGAUAAUGGGUGGAAUCUACAUGAGAACCUCACCACCCACAAUUCUUUUAUUAUACUCCUCUUCAUUCUUCCAAUUCCCCCAAUUUAAGCCUCUACACCCUCCCAAACCCUAAUCUUUUCCCUAACACAUUUCCUUCGCUUCACUAGGCUGUUCUCGGCUCUGUUAUUGGUAAAUUUCUAUCAACUUCUCUUUCCCUGCUACUAUUUUUUUUUUCUUUUAUUUCCUUUCUUCUCCAGUUUUCCCCUCCUAUCCUUUUCAAUGCUCUCAUGUAUUUGAUUGUACAAUAAUAUAUGGAUUUUGCAUUGUUCCAUCGACUGUAUACUGUGAUUUGUAUUUAGAUUUAGCUUUUCAUUAGUUGUGAUUUUUUUUUUUUUUGGAAUUGGAUUUGAAUUUGGAUUGUUCAUGGAAUACGAUAUGUUCCUUGCAGCUGGAUAAAAAAAAAAAUUUUUGCUAUAACACUCAAAUUUCAAUAUAACUAUGGACAAAAUUUACCCAACAUAAUAAACCAGAGAAGUGACUGAAAAGGACAAAGCCACUUGUUUAUCAAACUCCAGAGAAUCCUAAGUGCUUUAAAUUGAUAGGAGCUACUGGUAGUAGAACCGGUCAAGUGGCAAUCAAUUUAAUCAGAAAACUUCAGAAGAAAAAACAAUAAAACUGCCUGGAAUUAGGGACAAAGUGUAAUUGUCAUUAAUAGUAAUAAUUCUAUAAUAUCACUUAUCCAGCUUUAGAUUAUCAAAUCUAUGCACAGGGGGGCAAUGCUGUGAUUUGUAUAUCUUACUUUACAUAUAAUAAAUAAUAAUAGAGGCUACUCAACUCAUAAACCAAAUUAGAGAAAAGCAAAAGGGCCCUAAAAUUUGGAUUGAGAUAGCCAGCUAUUUCCCACGAGGCAAGAUGGGCUUAGAUUUUGACAUCCUAACCUCCCAAAAAAGCUACAGUAAAUAACAUGAAAACAGAAAAUACACUUUGUCAUCGACCACACAGUGUUAAAUUUAUGUUAAAUUUAUGUUAAAUAACUGCCACCUGCUGGCCAAAACAAGGGCAACAGACAAGUACCUAACAAGAUGGACAAAUUGUACAAUUAUGUUAAAUUUAUUUGUAUGCUAAAAUAAUGAUGCUUAAUCGUCUUGUUAAUCCCCACAACCACCAACAGAAGGUGAAUAUGCCCCCCAUUUUUCUGUUUGAAUCCCCAAGUUGUGUUGUGAGGGGCCAAUUUUGCUGGCAGCAAGACUAAUAAGCUAUGUCAAAUGGGGAAGUAGCAAAAUUUAAAGAUAUGCAAAAGACCCAUAAAAACAAAAUGGCAAAACAUAAUUAAAAUCAGAAUGAAAUUAAAGAGUGAAAGGGAAAGGAGUGAGUGGUACCCAGAUACCAUUCAUACAUGUCAGAAACCAUGUGAUAUUGUGGUCCUCACCCAUUCAUGUCCACCUACAGAGGGUACACAGUGAGGAAAAACAGAAAGACCCCACUCCCAUAUAUCAGUUCAUCUGUCCUUUUAUGUAUGCAUUAUGUAUUCAUUGUAAGUAGUAUGUAUUGAUGAUGAUGGUGAUCUUGCUGAGAUCUUGUCUACAGAUCUUUUUCUUUGUUGUGAGUAUGGUUUUUGGCUAUACAGCUAGAGGAUUUCUUUUUCUUCCUUGUAUAUGCUUUCCAAUAUUUCCUAGCAAAGUCAAUCUCCCCGUUGCUGGCCAUGCUCACCUUUUGCCAACUACAUGCCAAUGGUACCAGGCCCAGAAGAAAGCUCGUUUCAUCAACCUCCAAAGCAGCAGUUGAGAAGACAGUGUGGUCGCCAGAUGAUUUCUUGGGAGAAGUAAAAAGGUUAUCGGGAAGGAUAUGCUCCAAACUUUCAUGAAGAUCACUUUCUUCAGUGUUGGUCUUCUCGUCCGUACUACAACUACUACUAUUGCUAUUGCCGUUACUGUGCUUGCUAGCUGGAUUCGCUUCCUGUUCAGCGUCCAGAAACGCAUUUCGAGAAGCUGAUGCAUCUGGGUUACCACCAUUCUCUUCGGGAACUUCUUGAUCAAUGCCAUCAGCUGGAAAAAUGAGGUUCUGACUGUUGGUAGUGUGAGAGAGCGUUGGCGAGGGAAUGGGCGACCCAGUAGACAAUCCAUGAAGGUAUUGAUGAUUGCUAUGGUUUUUGAAGUCGAGAAGUUGCAGAUUCAUUAGCCUUCUCCCUUGCAGUUCAAUAGCUUGCUGCAAUUCAGCUUGCUCCUCUAAUUUCCUUCUCAACAACAUCUCUGGAGUAUUUUGAAACAUUCUAGCUCCAAGAUGGAGGUCAAAUGGCUCCCUAGAAUCAAUUCCAAGAGGGGUAGAACAAGCUGAAUACUCUCCUCGCUCUAUCUGUUGUUGAUGCUGCUGCUGCUGCUUCUUGUCCGGGACUUUUCCCUUCUCCUUGUAAGGCUUCACAAGCACACGCGAAUCACAGACGAAAUGAGGAUUUCCUUUAGUCAAUAUAAGCUUCACUGUCUCUGGAUACACAAAUGUAACAAACCCAAACAUUCUCUUCUGCUGGUAUGGAAUCCUCACAUCUUGCACUGGCCCAUAAAUACUGAAGUAAUUUGAAACAUCUUCUUCUCUAAAAGUGCUAUCAGCUGGAAACGUCAAAUAGAUCUGUCUGGAACCUGGGUUCAUUGCCCCUCCCAAUCCCAUUGGCGAGAAAUCGUUUCUUUCAGGGCGGCAUCUCCCAAACUUGUGAAGCUCAUCCCCCAUCAUCAAUGCAGCUGCUGCAGCCGAUCUUUGGGUGUCAUUUUGUUGUUGAAGGAGGAAAUUCAUGCACUUGUUGUAAGGAAAAGAAGCUCCAGUCAUGAACUGUGAGGCUGCGGCUAGCUUUUGCUGCUGGGCAGCAGCAGCUUUGGAUCUAAGAAGUUCCUGGCACUGUUCAAACUCGCUGAGUUUACUUGGUGAGCCAACAAUGGCAGCACCAUCAGCUGAUUCCCCAUGAAGAAACCUGCAACUAGUGCCAUUCUUGCAAAACCCUCUUGCAAAAUACAAGCACGGCUUCCAUCCAAACCCGGAAUUAGAAUCUUCGGACCCAAAACACAUGCCUGGAACCGAAAAGCUUCUUCUAUGCAAAUGGGUAUCACCGUAUGUCGUUGGGCUCAUGGCUAACUCAAGCCGUGGAUCAAACAAAUCAUCGGUCUUUGAAUCAUUGAGGAAGGAGAAGUGGUCUUGAAUUUGAUACUCAUCAAUGAGAUCAUUAUUGCUGUUAUUAUUAGCGUUACUGCUGUUGUAGUAUGGGAAUGCAUUAGAUAACGGCACAGAAGACGAUAACGAUGAGGAACCAGUGCGGUUAUUACUGGUUCCAUUAACAAUACUAGCGUAUGAAAGUGAGGAAGUGGAGCUAGGAUUCAGAAGAGGCCAAGAAUUUGAUGAUGGUGAAGAUGGG
Molecule: unclassified non-coding RNA, 3557 nt
Filed under: Hevea brasiliensis (rubber tree)
Lineage: Eukaryota; Viridiplantae; Streptophyta; Magnoliopsida; Malpighiales; Euphorbiaceae
Source: RNAcentral